RNAcentral lists this microRNA precursor (94 nucleotides) under Sorghum bicolor (sorghum). RNAcentral's name for it is "MIR5387 microRNA precursor family". It matches the Rfam family "MIR5387 microRNA precursor family". Lineage: Eukaryota; Viridiplantae; Streptophyta; Magnoliopsida; Poales; Poaceae. The record is from Rfam by way of RNAcentral.
UCGUAACACGAACCGGUGCUAAAGGGUCCUGCCUAACGGCUACUGACAGGUGUUGUCGGGGCAGGGACCCUUUAGCACCGGUUCGUGUUACCAA